GAUGAAGAACGUACCGAAACGCGAUAUGUAAUGUGAAUUGCAGAAUUCAGUGAAUCAUCGAAUCUUUGAACGCACAUGGCGCCUUCCAGUAUCCUGGGAGGCAUGCCUGUCCGAGCGUCGUUUCAACCCUCGAGCCCCCGUGGCCCGGCGUUGGGGAUCUGCCCAGGCAGUCCCCGAAAACCAGUGGCGGACCCGUUACAGGCCCUUCCCUUGCGUAGUAGCAUUCGCCUCGCAUCGGGAGCCGGCGGGCUUCCAGCCUCUAAACCCCCAUCAAGUCCGCCCCGGCGGCACCAAGGUUGACCUCGGAUCAGGUAGGAAUACCCGCUGAACUUAAGCAUAUCAAUAAGCGGAGGA
RNAcentral lists this unclassified non-coding RNA (354 nucleotides) under soil metagenome. Its description in RNAcentral is "partial contains 5.8S ribosomal RNA, internal transcribed spacer 2, and large subunit ribosomal RNA". The stretch from base 1 to 120 matches the Rfam family "5.8S ribosomal RNA", at positions 35 to 154 of the family's 154-position model. The record is from RNAcentral.